Etheostoma spectabile (orangethroat darter) is the source of this 140-nucleotide long non-coding RNA. RefSeq lists it as uncharacterized. Lineage: Eukaryota; Metazoa; Chordata; Actinopteri; Perciformes; Percidae. The record is from RefSeq and is a predicted model, not a curated record. The transcript has 3 exons.
GUUUCUGUCCCUAAGUUCAAUGAUACCUCACACAAGACUGUACAUCAUACAGUUCAUUAGCUGUGAAAGGGGGUGUGGCCAAAGCAUAGGGGCCGGGGCAAACCUUUACCAAUAAAAAAGGAGGUCUCUGCUGAGUUCAA